Non-coding RNA from Picea glauca (white spruce), 122 nucleotides. NCBI's taxonomy places the organism in Eukaryota, Viridiplantae, Streptophyta, Pinopsida, Pinales, Pinaceae. The record is from Rfam.
AUGUAAUGUAAUUCCUAUAGCGUUAAUGCACUAGAUCAAAUUAGAACUCCAUAGUUAAGAACACUUGGUCUAGAGUAGUAUUGGGAUGGAUGACCUCCCGAGAAUUCCUAGUGUUUUACUUG